This 71-nucleotide transfer RNA is filed under the name Camelus bactrianus (Bactrian camel). It matches the Rfam family "tRNA". From Rfam's summary of the family: Transfer RNA (tRNA) molecules are approximately 80 nucleotides in length. Lineage: Eukaryota; Metazoa; Chordata; Mammalia; Artiodactyla; Camelidae. The record is from Rfam by way of RNAcentral. RNAcentral also lists the same sequence under 2 other names.
GAAGGUAUUGCUCAGUGGUAGAGCACAUGCUUAGCAUGCAGAAGGUCCUGGGUUCAAUUCCAGUACUUCCA